GACUUUCUUGGCAUGAUAAGGGGUACAGAGAGUCGACUCUGCUGGUUGGAAACCACAGAAAUACAACGCCUGAAUCACAAGGGAUUCCCUUAUUUUACCAACGCUGAGGACUGUUUCCCUGGCAUAGAGUUCGUUGAGACAAACCUACAGCUGCUUACCACUGAACCUCACCAUGACCCUUCAGCUGUCGUUCUGCCUCUCAGUGCCGGUGAGAUGAGCAGCACCUGGAGCGAUGUUCAGUUCUUCUCUGAAGACUCCUUCAGCUUCCAGCAGUCUGGGUCAGUGGACAUUUUAAGGUACUUCCUCAGAAUGAUGAGGGGUCCAGAGAGUCGGCUCUGCUGGUUUAUAACCACCAAGACAUGCUGGUUGAACCACGAGCUAAUUGUCAUCUGCACGGAUUCCCUUAUUAUACCGAAACCAAGGACUGUUCCACUGGCAUACAGGGUGUAUCUGGGGUGGUUACAGAAAUCAUUUCCUGUCACCACAUGGAGACUGUCACAGUGCCACUUGAGGAAUAUGUGGUAAAUUUAUUAUGCUGUCAUGAUGUGUAUAUGUAGAUAAUAAUUUUGGGGAAUUUUUUCUGUUGUACAUUUGUCUGCAGUGUCUACUUUUGUAGACAUUCAGAGAGUGGACCAGACUGGGAGGUAAUGCCAUGUUUCAGACCCGAUGUGUAUCUAUGCUGCUUUUCCCCUGAAUGUGCGUCUGUAAAAUUUACUGUGGGAGAUUUAAUGAUUCAUUGCUAAUUUUGCUCGCAGGAGACUGAGGACGGCCUUAUGCCAGAUGAGAUGGAGGUGCCAUUUAUUAUGUAAUGUAUGAUCCUCUUCACAGUUUAAUGGUGUAAUGCAUGUUUAACAUACACUAAGCAUUUACACCUGUUGUUUCUUAGCUACCAUCUUUCAGACAGAGGGGUUACAGACAUCGGACUGAAGCUGCGUGCUCUCCGUCAGGCGUUCUCUGAGAGUAAAACCUUUGUUUAGCUGUGGUUGUUACUCAGGUACAUUACACUCUGCUUUAACUUAUAUUGUGUGUUGUCUUAUUUUCAGACUCUGCUUGCCAGCAUCCACAACCAGAACUUCGUUUGUGGUUGGAAAGAAGAUUGUGAUGCGUCUGGCACCAGCUAACAACCAGGAUGUAUUUCGUGUGCACCUGGCCUAUGAGUCUUUGGUUUGAUUCCUGAGAAAGCCUUCCUAUCAGGAGUUGAUUAUGACAGAGCUCUUCGGGGCCCAGCUCUACCAUUACAACUUCCUGGAUGUGUUUUAUGAGCUGCUUCUCUUCGGCUACUUUGGGAACGGCUCAACACCUGAGGCAUUUGAGGGAGGAUUCUUGGAGUGCCUGUUUGCUCUCAUCAGCAUGUGGGACGUGGGCGUGUGGGAGCCUGCAGCAGAGCUGUACUUAUUGAUCGGCUUACAGUGCUUUGUGAAGUACUGUUUUCUCAGCACCGGGAACUCUACAGCAACCCAGCGGCCUUAUUGAGUGGUUUCACGGCUCCUCAGGCAGCAUGUCCAGCUGAUGAUGGACACUUUGGAGAAGCUGAGCAAUGCCAUUGCCUCUAUCCACCCCUCUGCCACCCCAUCCUCCCUUCCUCUUCACGCUUUUAUCUCGUUUAAUGUACAAUUGACAUUGUGGGAUGUUCGUCAGUUCCUGCUAUCUCUUUUAACAUUAAUAAGGCUAAAAAUUUUUAUUAUUGCUAUAAUUAGACCGCCAAAAUUCAUCUUUUCUUCCUCUUGUU
Long non-coding RNA from Ictalurus punctatus (channel catfish), 1729 nucleotides. The record is from Ensembl. Lineage: Eukaryota; Metazoa; Chordata; Actinopteri; Siluriformes; Ictaluridae.